This 333-nucleotide ribosomal RNA is filed under the name Arcocellulus cornucervis. RNAcentral's name for it is "SSU rRNA". It matches the Rfam family "Eukaryotic small subunit ribosomal RNA", at positions 627 to 961 of the family's 1831-position model. Lineage: Eukaryota; Bacillariophyta; Thalassiosirophyceae; Cymatosirales; Cymatosiraceae. The record is from RNAcentral.
CUCGUAGUUGGAUUUCUGGUGGGAGCGAUCGGUCUGGCGCUUAGCGCGAGUACUUGCAUCGUCUCCGGCCAUCCUUGGGGAGAGUUUGUCUGGCAUUAAGUUGUCGGGCAGAGGAUCCUCAUCGUUUACUGUGAAAAAAUUAGAGUGUUCAAAGCAGGCUUAUGCCGUUGAAUAUAUUAGCAUGGAAUAAUAAGAUAGGACUUUGGUACUAUUUUGUUGGUUUGCGCACCAAAGUAAUGAUUAAUAGGGACAGUUGGGGGUAUUCGUAUUCCGUUGUCAGAGGUGAAAUUCUUGGAUUUACGGAAGACGAACUACUGCGAAAGCAUUUACCAA